GACCGCGUAGCUCAGUUGGCAGAGCAUUGGGCUAGUAUUCCAAACGUCGUAGGUUCGAUUCCCACCGUGGUCA
RNAcentral lists this transfer RNA (73 nucleotides) under Paramuricea clavata. It matches the Rfam family "tRNA". From Rfam's summary of the family: Transfer RNA (tRNA) molecules are approximately 80 nucleotides in length. Their secondary structure includes four short double-helical elements and three loops (D, anti-codon, and T loops). The record is from Rfam by way of RNAcentral. Lineage: Eukaryota; Metazoa; Cnidaria; Anthozoa; Malacalcyonacea; Plexauridae.